RNAcentral lists this ribosomal RNA (250 nucleotides) under uncultured prokaryote. RNAcentral describes it as "partial 16S ribosomal RNA". It matches the Rfam family "Bacterial small subunit ribosomal RNA", at positions 524 to 774 of the family's 1533-position model. The record is from RNAcentral.
UACGGAGGAUGCGAGCGUUAUCCGGAUUCAUUGGGUCUAAAGGGUGCGCAGGCGGCCGGCCAAGUCAGCGGUGAAAGUCAGGGGCCCAACCCCGGAAGUGCCGUUGAUACUGGUUGGCUGAAUGCGGUCGAGGAGGGCGGAAUGUGGCGUGUAGCGGUGAAAUGCGUAGAUAUGCCACAGAACGCCGAUAGCGGAGGCAGCUCGCCAGGCCUGCAUUGACGCUCGGGCACGAAAGCGUGGGGAUCGAACA